UACGGGGGGAGCAAGCGUUGUUCGGAUUUACUGGGCGUAAAGGGCGCGUAGGCGGUCAGCACAAGUCAGUUGUGAAAUCUCCGGGCUUAACUCGGAAAGGUCAACUGAUACUGUGCGACUAGAGUGCGGAAGGGGCAACUGGAAUUCUCGGUGUAGCGGUGAAAUGCGUAGAUAUCGAGAGGAACACCCAGGGGGAAACCAGCCGACUGGGCAAGUGCUGACGCUGAGGUGCGAGAGCGUGGGGAGCGAACCGG
This 254-nucleotide ribosomal RNA is filed under the name uncultured bacterium. RNAcentral's name for it is "partial 16S ribosomal RNA". It matches the Rfam family "Bacterial small subunit ribosomal RNA", at positions 524 to 776 of the family's 1533-position model. The record is from RNAcentral.